UACAGAGGGUGCAAGCGUUGUUCGGAAUUACUGGGCGUAAAGGGCGCGUAGGCGGCGACUCUAGUCAGAUGUGAAAGUCCUGGGCUUAACCUGGGGACUGCAUUUGAUACUGGGUUGCUUGAAUUCGGGAGAGGAUAGCGGAAUUCCCAGUGUAGAGGUGAAAUUCGUAGAUAUUGGGAAGAACACCGGUGGCGAAGGCGGCUAUCUGGACCGACAUUGACGCUGAGGCGCGAAAGCGUGGGGAGCAAACAGG
Molecule: ribosomal RNA, 253 nt
Filed under: uncultured bacterium
Lineage: Bacteria
Description: partial 16S ribosomal RNA
Rfam family: Bacterial small subunit ribosomal RNA
Source: RNAcentral